UAGACGUGGGGGCACCCUGACCGCAAUGCCGCGUGAGUGAAGAAGGCCUUCGGGUUGUAAAGCUCUUUUGUCAGGGAAGAAACACCGGCUCUAACACAGUCCGGGAAUGACGGUACCUGAAGAAUAAGCACCGGCUAACUACGUGCCAGCAGCCGCGGUAAUACGUAGGGCGCAAGCGUUAAUCGGAAUUACUGGGCGUAAAGCGUGCGCAGGCGGUUAUACAAGACAGGCGUGAAAUCCCCGGGCUUAACCUGGGAAUGGCGCCUGUGACUGUAUAGCUAGAGUGUGUCAGAGGGGGGUAGAAUUCCACGUGUAGCAGUGAAAUGCGUAGAUAUGUGGAGGAAUACCAAUGGCGAAGGCAGCCCCCUGGGAUAACACUGACGCUCAUGCACGAAA
RNAcentral lists this ribosomal RNA (396 nucleotides) under uncultured bacterium. RNAcentral describes it as "bacterial SSU rRNA". It matches the Rfam family "Bacterial small subunit ribosomal RNA", at positions 366 to 758 of the family's 1533-position model. The record is from RNAcentral.